RNAcentral lists this transfer RNA (66 nucleotides) under Chalcosoma caucasus caucasus. Its description in RNAcentral is "tRNA-Asn". The record is from RNAcentral. Lineage: Eukaryota; Metazoa; Arthropoda; Insecta; Coleoptera; Scarabaeidae.
UUAAUUGAAACCAAAAUAGAGGUAAAUCACUGUUAAUGAUAUAACUGAGUCAAAACUCCAAUUAAG